AGAACUUUCCAGAGAUGGAUUGGUGCCUUCGGGAACUCUGAGACAGGUGCUGCAUGGCUGUCGUCAGCUCGUGUUGUGAAAUGUUGGGUUAAGUCCCGCAACGAGCGCAACCCUUAUCCCUUGUGCCAGCGGUUAGGCCGGGAACUCAAAGGAGACUGCCAGUGAUAAACUGGAGGAAGGUGGGGAUGACGUCAAGUCAUCAUGGCCCUUACGAGUAGGGCUACACACGUGCUACAAUGGCGCAUACAAAGAGAAGCGACCUCGCGAGAGCAAGCGGACCUCAUAAAGUGCGUCGUAGUCCGGAUUGGAGUCUGCAACUCGACUCCAUGAAGUCGGAAUCGCUAGUAAUCGUGGAUCAGAAUGCCACGGUGAAUACGUUCCCGGGCCUUGUACACACCGCCCGUCACACCAUGGGAGUGGGUUGCAAAGGAAGUAGGUAGCUUAACCUUCGGGAGGGCGCUUACCACUUUGUGAUUCAUGACUGGGGUGAAGUCGUAACAAGGUAAGCGUAGUGCU
This 516-nucleotide ribosomal RNA is filed under the name uncultured bacterium. RNAcentral describes it as "bacterial SSU rRNA". It matches the Rfam family "Bacterial small subunit ribosomal RNA", at positions 992 to 1509 of the family's 1533-position model. The record is from RNAcentral.